GAUUAGGGUUUAGGUAGCUAACGGGAAGAAAGAGACUUGUAUGCAAAUUAGGUAGCUCACGGGAAGAAAGAGGCAUGUAAAGAUGGUGUAAAAAGAAUGAUCUAUGCAUGUUUGAUUAGGGUUUAGGUAGCUCACGGGAAGAAAGAGACUUGUUUGGAAAUUAGGUAGCUCACGGGAAGAAAGAGGCUUGCAUGAAAACAAUGACGUUGGGUUUAUAAAUAGGUCGAUUGACCUUUGACAACCAAACCACCUUCAGACUCGGUCGGAGGCUUACGUUUACUGUUCCCAGCUUACACACCUCAUCAAGUUCCUCUUUUUUUUACCUCUCUUUUUUUACCAUUUCAACACUGCACAAUGGUGAUGAAACUGGCUCUCUUUUUCGUUUGAGCAUUCUUGAUGCUGAUACAAUAUUCCUCCUUCCACACUGCACCAUAGUGUGGAAGUGUGGAAGGAGGAAUAUUGUAUCGGCAUCAAGAAUGCUCAUCUCUCCCAACUGUAUGAUCAGCAUAAUAUGGCCACAGUUGAGUUUCAAUAUCUUUGCACGGAGCCAUGAAUAACCUGUGUGAAAACGGGUCAUACUCCAUGCAAUGAUCAGUACCAGACCCCUAUAAUUUUAACCAUCUUAGAGUCAAUUGACUUGCCAAAAGCCCAAAAUUGGCUUGACCGCUGCUGAUCUUUAAAAAAUACCAAACUUACAAAAUUACUUGCAGUCAAGAACAAAUUCGUCCUGCUCUCAAACAUCGAGAGAGGACAAAUGUUCUUGACUGCAACUAAUUUUGUGAGGUGUUCAAAGAUCAGCAGCGAUCUGGGCAGUUUUGGGUUUUCGGCAAGUCUCGACCCUAUGAUGGUUAAAAUCAUAGGUUUGGUUGUGAUUAUUGCAUGAAGUUUGAUCCGUUUUCACACAGGUAAAACUUGGUAAUCCUUGUGUGGAUCUGCAAUGUUUCUCUUUCAAAACAACUUUUCUACUUUGAAAAAAUAGUCCAUGGAUCUGCAAAUAAAUACCUUUCUACUUUGAAAAAAACAUAAAUCAGUGCCUUGUAUGCAGGAAAUCCCGGAUCCAUGACAGAUCUUUGAGUAAGGGUCUCAACUCCAGAUCCAUUGGACGAGAAGUUAUAACAAACCUUGAAUGUCCCAUAUCCAUAGAUCUGGAAGAAUGAAGAUGGAGGAUUGCGUCUGCGUAUUAAGGGGCCAAAUACCAUGUUUGUGGACUGUUUUGGUUCUUCAUUAAGAUGUAAAUAAAUUUUGAAAUGGAUGAGAAUAUAUUUUAAUAUAUUUCACACAUUUAACAUGGUUUUAAAAUCCACGACAUUGAGCGGGCUCAAUUUCUAGUGUAUUACGAUAUUUAUAUUAGUCCUUGUAAUAUUAUUAAUUGCAUGUCCUCUAUAUGUUUCUUUGA
Molecule: long non-coding RNA, 1396 nt
Organism: Pyrus x bretschneideri (Chinese white pear)
Lineage: Eukaryota; Viridiplantae; Streptophyta; Magnoliopsida; Rosales; Rosaceae
Exons: 2
Source: RefSeq, a predicted model, not a curated record